RNAcentral lists this RNase P RNA (435 nucleotides) under marine eukaryotic metagenome. RNAcentral's name for it is "Bacterial RNase P class A". It matches the Rfam family "Bacterial RNase P class A". Rfam says of the family: Ribonuclease P (RNase P) is a ubiquitous endoribonuclease, found in archaea, bacteria and eukarya as well as chloroplasts and mitochondria. Its best characterised activity is the generation of mature 5'-ends of tRNAs by cleaving the 5'-leader elements of precursor-tRNAs. The record is from RNAcentral.
AUGCUGGAUGGUUGCUCUUCACAUAUAGUUGUGGGGAGAGGAAAGUCCGAGCUCCAUUGGGCACGGUGCUGGGUAACACCCAGGCGGAUUCGUAAAACGAAACCCGACAGAAAGUGGCACAGAAACAAUACCGCCAUCUUUGAAAGUUCAAAGAUGGUAAGGGUGAAAACGGAUGGUAAGAGCAUCCGGCUGUUGUGGUGACACAAUCAGUGGCUAAACCUCACUGGGAGCAAGGCCAAAUAGGGGGACACAAGGAGCCUGACCUGUCUCCGGGUAGGCCGCAUGACCCCAGGGGUAACCCUGCGAUCUGAGCACAGAUCGAAUCGCUAGGUUGGCGAUUAUUUGCAGAAACCUUGCGGUUGACGUGGGCAAGAUAGAUAACCAUCACCGAUCCAAAUAUUGGUUCGGCACAGAACUCGGCUUAUAGGCCUCCCG